CCAGGUACAGGACCCUGGUAGACAACGUUCUUGAAUAUGGAGAGGAGAAUGACCUCAUCCUCAACACAGACAAGACCAAGGAAUUAAUACUGGAGCCGUACUCUCAACAUUAACACAAAAGUGAAAAAAGCCCAGCAAAGCCUUAUUUUCAUUCGGCUGCACAGGAAAGCCGCCAAUAUUCUAAAUGUCAAAAUGUGCAAUACUAUGUGUGUAAUACCUAGAGUGCUAUUUAGAUUCUCGCCAGCGAGUACUUGUAUUACCACCCUCUGGUUUUGUUAAGUUGUACACCUUUGCCUGUGUAGGGCCGUUUUCCUCUGGUUGUGAUUUACUUGUUUUAGCGCUUCAAAGCUUGUGCUUGGAGAUUAUGAAAAACAGUCACAUGGGUGGAUUCUUAGAUGAAUUUUCUCACGAUCUCAAAAAAUUGCCAGAAAGUAAUGUCUUUGCUUUUCACAUCAGACAUCGAUCAAUCAGUCUAACCUUUAUUUGUCACAUGCAAAGUUUACACCUGCAGUGAAAUCAGAAAUCGGCAAAUGCGAUGAAGAAAUUGAAGAAGAAUGUUUGAUGUAUGGUGAGUAGGUAUACCUUUGUUCCUUAGUGCAAUAUGUGAUUUGACUCUGUCAACUCAAUGCGUGGACAGUGUGGAGGAGUGGUGCUAAAAUCAUUUAUCAUCAUGGGCCACAUACAGCUCUAUUUCAUCUUAAGUCGGCCAGACCAGUGAAGAUUUUGUCUAAUAAACUUUUUUUUUUUUAAAUACACCUCCAAGUUGUUACUUUCAGUGUAAAGGAGAUUAACUACAUCAUUAAUCCUUGAGAGUCUUAACAUUAUACAGUUUUUUUUUUUUCAAGAUUACAAAGAAAUGCUGUUGUAGUAUACCAAAGAAACCUAUGAGAAGGGCUCACUGAGCUCAUACUGUUAAAGAAAUGAAAGAAUUCCUUCUGAAAAAGGGGAAUCCUAUUGUACAUAGUAAAUAGGAAUAACUUUUCUUUCAUUAAAUCGAAUACUAACAAUAAAAAAAUCUAAUAUUUAGCAGUUAAUGCUUUAGCUGGUACUUACUCUAACCAAAAUCUCUGAGGUGUG
This is a long non-coding RNA of Astatotilapia calliptera (eastern happy), 1077 nucleotides long. The record is from Ensembl. NCBI's taxonomy places the organism in Eukaryota, Metazoa, Chordata, Actinopteri, Cichliformes, Cichlidae.